UACGAAGGGGGCUAGCGUUGUUCGGAAUUACUGGGCGUAAAGCGUAUGCAGGCGGAUCGUUAAGUCGGGGGUGAAAUCCCGAGGCUCAACCUCGGAACUGCCUUCGAUACUGGCGAUCUUGAGUCCGGGAGAGGUGAGUGGAACUCCGAGUGUAGAGGUGAAAUUCGUAGAUAUUCGGAAGAACACCAGUGGCGAAGGCGGCUCACUGGCCCGGUACUGACGCUGAGAUACGAAAGCCAAGGGAGCGAACAGG
This 253-nucleotide ribosomal RNA is filed under the name uncultured bacterium. Its description in RNAcentral is "partial 16S ribosomal RNA". It matches the Rfam family "Bacterial small subunit ribosomal RNA", at positions 524 to 776 of the family's 1533-position model. The record is from RNAcentral.